AGGGUCUGUUUGGGAGUGCUGUUAAAAAUUGCUGUGCUGUCAGAAAAAGUGCUGGUAAAAUAAGUGCUGUUGUAGAAAUCAGAUAACUGUUUGCAUUCUGCAAAAGCUGAAAAGCAGCUUUUUCCAAAAGCAUGGGAGGACCUGCUUUUUCUAACAGCAGCUUUUCAGCUAAAAGCUGCUGUUCAGAAAAGCUGCUUUUCGAUUUACCAAACAGUUUUUCACCUGCUUUUCAGCAAAAAGCUGCUGUUGCUGUCUGCAACAGCAACCCCAAACAGUAAUUAGUCGGA
This is a long non-coding RNA of Daucus carota subsp. sativus, 287 nucleotides long. RefSeq lists it as uncharacterized. The transcript has 2 exons. The record is from RefSeq and is a predicted model, not a curated record. Lineage: Eukaryota; Viridiplantae; Streptophyta; Magnoliopsida; Apiales; Apiaceae.